GUUCUACCAGGUGGACUAGUGACCAACCCACAGAUCAUCUGAUAGGGUGCUUUGAUCAGUUGAUGGGGGUUUGAGGCUGAUCAAGGAAGUCACCUGACAGAUAGGACUGGAAGUUAUAAAAGGAUAAGGUCUGCUGAGUAGCACUCACUCACUGACUAGAACAAGAAGGCAAGAUAAUUGAGAGAACUUUAACCCCAGAGGCAGGACGUGUCCUCAGUACCACCUGACCUUCUUUGGGUUGAAUCCUUCCUUGGAUGCAUAGGCACAGAGAGAAACAGUGUACCUUUUAUAGCUGGGGUGAAUCUAGCCCAGUGCUGAAGAUUCUUCAGACUUCCUUGAAGACUUACUUGUAUAAUGGCUACUGCUUCCAGUUAGGUUUUCCCCACCACCAAGUCUUAUAAACAAGCAGUAAGGAUGAAUUAACAAAUUCUGUUUUUUAAAUGUAUCUACAGUACAGAUGAUUGUUGGCAAAUAAAAGAUGUUAACCCUUAGAAAAUAAAAAGCACACCAUGAAGAUGUUUCUGGA
Mauremys reevesii (Reeves's turtle) is the source of this 526-nucleotide long non-coding RNA. RefSeq lists it as uncharacterized. The transcript has 2 exons. The record is from RefSeq and is a predicted model, not a curated record. Lineage: Eukaryota; Metazoa; Chordata; Testudines; Geoemydidae.